This 582-nucleotide long non-coding RNA is filed under the name Marmota monax (woodchuck). The record is from RNAcentral. Lineage: Eukaryota; Metazoa; Chordata; Mammalia; Rodentia; Sciuridae.
CCAGUGUCUAGGGGUGAAUAGAUGGCUAAGAUAGUCUUGUGGUAUCUAAAUGGCUUGCUAUUUAAAGGCAAAAUUAUCUGUAAGAGAUGGUGGAAAGGGGCUGGAGUUGUGGCUCAUUGUUAGAGCACUCACCUAGCACAUGUGAGGCACUGGAUUCAAUCCUUAGCACAACACAAAAAUAAAUAAAAUAAAGGUAUUAUGUCCAACUAUAGCUAAAAAAAUAAAAGAGAUGGUGGGAAAUUGCUUAAAGAAGGAAAUUUUAUGUAUUGAGGAGAAGCUCUCAGUUAUUGAAUAUAUGAAAGUUCUUUUAACUCUUCAAGACCAGAAACAUUUUUGCAUUCAAACCAUCCAAAGAAGUUGGUCAUGAGGCCAGGCUUGGGAGGCUAAGACAAAAGGAUCCCAAGUUCAAAGCCGCCUUAGCAAAACCAAGUUGCUAAGCAACUCAGUGAGACCCUGUCCCUAAAGAAAAUACAAAAAACGGCUGUGGAUGUGGCUCAGUGGGUGAGUGCCCCUGAGUUCAAUCCCUGGUACCCCCAAAGAUAAAUAAAUAAAUUGGUUAUGGUAAGAUUGACAGUUAAGUAU